This 447-nucleotide ribosomal RNA is filed under the name uncultured bacterium. RNAcentral describes it as "SSU rRNA". It matches the Rfam family "Bacterial small subunit ribosomal RNA", at positions 26 to 518 of the family's 1533-position model. The record is from RNAcentral.
AGAACGAACGCUGGCGGCAGGCCUCAAACAUGCAAGUCUAGGGGGUGUAGCAAUACAUCACCGGCGGACGGGUGCGUAACGCGUGGGAAUAUACCUAUUGGUUCGGAACAACUGAGGGAAACUUCAGCUAAUACCGAAUAAGUCCUUACGGAGAAAGAUUUAUCGCCAAUAGAUUAGCCCGCGUUCGAUUAGCUAGUUGGUGGGGUAACGGCCCACCAAGGCGACGAUCGAUAGCUGUUCUGAGAGGAAGAUCAGCCACACUGGGACUGAGACACGGCCCAGACUCCUACGGGAGGCAGCAGUUGGGAAUCUUGGACAAUGGGGGAAACCCUGAUCCAGCCAUGCCGCGUGAGUGAUGAAGGCCUUGGGUUGUAAAACUCUUUCGCGCACGACGAUAAUGACGGUAGUGCGAGAAGAAGCUCCGGCUAACUUCGCGCCAGCAGCCGC